UACGGAGGGGGCAAGCGUUAUUCGGAUUUACUGGGCGUAAAGCGAGCGUAGGUGGCUCGACAAGUCAGUGGUGAAAGCCCGGAGCUUAACUCUGGAACUGCCAUUGAAACUGUCGAGCUGGAAUCUCAGAGGGGAUAGCGGAAUUCCAAAUGUAGGGGUGAAAUCCGUAGAUAUUUGGAGGAACACCGGUGGCGAAGGCGGCUAUCUGGAUGAGUAUUGACACUGAGGCUCGAAAGCGCGGGGAUCAAACAGG
Molecule: ribosomal RNA, 253 nt
Filed under: uncultured bacterium
Lineage: Bacteria
Description: partial 16S ribosomal RNA
Rfam family: Bacterial small subunit ribosomal RNA
Source: RNAcentral